RNAcentral lists this transfer RNA (71 nucleotides) under Camelus bactrianus (Bactrian camel). It matches the Rfam family "tRNA". From Rfam's summary of the family: Transfer RNA (tRNA) molecules are approximately 80 nucleotides in length. Their secondary structure includes four short double-helical elements and three loops (D, anti-codon, and T loops). Lineage: Eukaryota; Metazoa; Chordata; Mammalia; Artiodactyla; Camelidae. The record is from Rfam by way of RNAcentral. RNAcentral also lists the same sequence under 2 other names.
GAGGAUAUAGCUCAAGUGGUAGAGCGCAUGCUUAGCAUGCACAAGGUCUUGGGUUCAAUCCCAGUACCUCU